UACGGAGGGUGCAAGCGUUAUCCGGAUUCACUGGGUUUAAAGGGUGCGUAGGUGGGCAGGUAAGUCAGUGGUGAAAUCUCCGGGCUUAACCCGGAAACUGCCAUUGAUACUAUCUGUCUUGAAUACCGUGGAGGUGAGCGGAAUAUGUCAUGUAGCGGUGAAAUGCUUAGAUAUGACAUAGAACACCAAUUGCGAAGGCAGCUGGCUACACAAAUAUUGACACUGAGGCACGAAAGCGUGGGGAUCAAACAGG
Molecule: ribosomal RNA, 253 nt
Filed under: uncultured bacterium
Lineage: Bacteria
Description: partial 16S ribosomal RNA
Rfam family: Bacterial small subunit ribosomal RNA
Source: RNAcentral